RNAcentral lists this ribosomal RNA (524 nucleotides) under uncultured bacterium. RNAcentral's name for it is "partial 16S ribosomal RNA". It matches the Rfam family "Bacterial small subunit ribosomal RNA", at positions 28 to 523 of the family's 1533-position model. The record is from RNAcentral.
GACGAACGCUGGCGGCGUGCCUAAUACAUGCAAGUCGAACGCUUCUUUUUCCACCGGAGCUUGCUCCACCGGAAAAAGAGGAGUGGCGAACGGGUGAGUAACACGUGGGUAACCUGCCCAUCAGAAGGGGAUAACACUUGGAAACAGGUGCUAAUACCGUAUAACAAUCGAAACCGCAUGGUUUUGAUUUGAAAGGCGCUUUCGGGUGUCGCUGAUGGAUGGACCCGCGGUGCAUUAGCUAGUUGGUGAGGUAACGGCUCACCAAGGCCACGAUGCAUAGCCGACCUGAGAGGGUGAUCGGCCACAUUGAGACUGAGACACGGCCCAAACUCCUACGGGAGGCAGCAGUAGGGAAUCUUCGGCAAUGGACGAAAGUCUGACCGGGCAACGCCGCGUGAGUGAAGAAGGUUUUCGGAUCGUAAAACUCUGUUGUUAGAGAAGAACAAGGAUGAGAGUAACUGUUCAUCCCUUGACGGUAUCUAACCAGAAAGCCACGGCUAACUACGUGCCAGCCGCCGCCGUAA